This 492-nucleotide ribosomal RNA is filed under the name uncultured bacterium. RNAcentral's name for it is "partial 16S ribosomal RNA". It matches the Rfam family "Bacterial small subunit ribosomal RNA", at positions 29 to 507 of the family's 1533-position model. The record is from RNAcentral.
AGUGAACGCUGGCGGUAGGCCUAACACAUGCAAGUCGAACGGCAGCACAGUAAGAGCUUGCUCUUACGGGUGGCGAGUGGCGGACGGGUGAGGAAUACAUCGGAAUCUACUUUUUCAUGGGGGAUAACGAAGGGAAACUUACGCUAAUACCGCAUACGACCUACGGGUGAAAGCAGGGGAUCUUCGGACCUUGCGCGAUUGAAUGAGCCGAUGUCGGAUUAGCUAGUUGGCGGGGUAAAGGCCCACCAAGGCGACGAUCCGUAGCUGGUCUGAGAGGAUGAUCAGCCACACUGGAACUGAGACACGGUCCAGACUCCUACGGGAGGCAGCAGUGGGGAAUAUUGGACAAUGGGCGCAAGCCUGAUCCAGCCAUACCGCGUGGGUGAAGAAGGCCUUCGGGUUGUAAAGCCCUUUUGUUGGGAAAGAAAAGCAGCAGGUUAAUACCCCGCUGUUCUGACGGUACCCAAAGAAUAAGCACCGGCUAACUUCGUG